RNAcentral lists this ribosomal RNA (499 nucleotides) under uncultured bacterium. Its description in RNAcentral is "partial 16S ribosomal RNA". It matches the Rfam family "Bacterial small subunit ribosomal RNA", at positions 30 to 523 of the family's 1533-position model. The record is from RNAcentral.
AUUGAACGCUGGCGGAAUGCUUUACACAUGCAAGUCGAACGGCAGCACGGACUUCGGUCUGGUGGCGAGUGGCGAACGGGUGAGUAAUGUAUCGGAACGUGCCCAGUCGUGGGGGAUAACGUAGUGAAAAUUACGCUAAUACCGCAUACGAUCUAUGGAUGAAAGCGGGGGAUCGCAAGACCUCGCGCGAUUGGAGCGGCCGAUAUCAGAUAGGUAGUUGGUGGGGUAAAGGCCCACCAAGCCACCGAUCUGUACCUGGUCUGAGAGGACGACCAGCCACACUGGAACUGAGACACGGUCCAGACUCCUACGGGAGGCAGCAGUGGGGAAUUUUGGACAAUGGGCGAAAGCCUGAUCCAGCCAUUCCGCGUGCAGGAUGAAGGCCCUCGGGUUGUAAACUGCUUUUGUACAGAACGAAAAGGUUUCUACUAAUACUAGGAGCUCAUGACGGUACUGUAAGAAUAAGCACCGGCUAACUACGUGCCAGCCGCCGCGGUAA